UGGAAAGAAAGACACAAGUGGCUGAGGAU
RNAcentral lists this non-coding RNA (29 nucleotides) under Homo sapiens (human). The record is from RNAcentral. Lineage: Eukaryota; Metazoa; Chordata; Mammalia; Primates; Hominidae.